This 1189-nucleotide long non-coding RNA is filed under the name Chlamydomonas reinhardtii. RNAcentral describes it as "long non-coding RNA (CREI_LNC001365)". Lineage: Eukaryota; Viridiplantae; Chlorophyta; Chlorophyceae; Chlamydomonadales; Chlamydomonadaceae. The record is from RNAcentral.
CUUACGAUGCCAUUGGGGUAAAUAAACUGUCGGCGUCAAUGGAGUCACACAUAAAACCAAGUCAGCCAGUUUGUGAGCAACCUACGAUCCAAGUCAUGGAAACCUAAAUUACUCAAGAAACUUAAAAUUACAGUCUUGAACGCUAAAAUUACAGUAUAUCCGCGGUCGAGCGAUGCCAACUCCCCCGGCUUCGCCGGCUCGCUACCACCAAAAUUCCUUUUGCCUCUUCAGAGCAGAAAUCCAAAGCUACAACUAACAAAAGCUCAAAUUGCACAAGUACACGAGCCCGAAAACGAUCCAUCUUACCGUCACAAUGCUGUUUUAGGUUUCACCACUUUGAAACCUGUUAUCGCUUAUAGUGCAGCUCUGGUAGUUGGGAGCGCCGUAGGGGAUCGGUUUGAGCUGUCACUUGCACGGUGCUUGGUAUGGCCAGGUAUUGCUGCUGAUUCCCCUGACACGACGCACCUCUGGAUACUGCUGCUAAGUGGGGGGGCUGUUAAGAGCGUACGCCGUUCAAGACCAUCUUGCUGUAUGCGUGCGAAUGCCAAUAUGCGAAACCCACUGUGUUCAAACCUGCGCCUCUCUCCUUUGUUAUGCAGCUUUCUUAUGUACAAGUCAAUUCGAAACCCGUACACAAUAAUGGAGACGCGUACUUUGGUUUCGGGAUACUGAGGUGGUGCAUACGGCUGUUACAAAGGCUGGCGCAGGCGAGCUGAAGACGCGACAAUGCGAACCCCAGAAAUGAACCCACCUGGAGCGGGCGCCCCAAGAGUACCGUACAUGCGAGGUCAGGAGGGAAGAGAAACGGCAGGAGAGAGCGUGCGGCAGUGCUGUUGUCAGGAUGCGAAAUCGACCAAGGAAGCGAGCCAGGGUUGCUGCCUACGGCAACCUAACACCGGCCGGGCGAGGUGGGCGGUGGGCGCCAAUGCAAGGGGACGCCAUGUGUCAAUAUGAUGGCUGGCUUGUGCCAUCGCCCACCCAGGCUUGUGGCGGCCCGGGGCCCACAGCACAUGCCGAGGGCCAAGAGUCAGCAGUCCUCUGAUGGUAGUGAUAGGUUGAUUGGAGGAGACGGAGGGGCAGACGGGGCUCUCCGACGGACGGGGCGCAUGCACCCCGAAAUAAACCUGCUGGUAAACCUGGCCUGACGCACCGGAUCCAUUUUUCAUUGAGUUCCACAGGUCUACCAAUG